GGUGACGUAGCCAAGUGGUAAGGCCAAGGUCUGCAAAACCUUUAUGCCCCGGUUCAAAUCCGGGCGUCACCUCCA
This 75-nucleotide transfer RNA is filed under the name Oscillospiraceae bacterium. RNAcentral's name for it is "tRNA-Cys". It matches the Rfam family "tRNA". From Rfam's summary of the family: Transfer RNA (tRNA) molecules are approximately 80 nucleotides in length. Their secondary structure includes four short double-helical elements and three loops (D, anti-codon, and T loops). Further hydrogen bonds mediate the characteristic L-shaped molecular structure. tRNAs have two regions of fundamental functional importance: the anti-codon, which is responsible for specific mRNA codon recognition, and the 3' end, to which the tRNAs corresponding amino acid is attached (by aminoacyl-tRNA synthetases). tRNAs cope with the degeneracy of the genetic code in two manners: having more than one tRNA (with a specific anti-codon) for a particular amino acid; and 'wobble' base-pairing, i.e. permitting non-standard base-pairing at the 3rd anti-codon position. Lineage: Bacteria; Bacillati; Bacillota; Clostridia; Eubacteriales; Oscillospiraceae. The record is from RNAcentral.